RNAcentral lists this ribosomal RNA (492 nucleotides) under uncultured bacterium. Its description in RNAcentral is "partial 16S ribosomal RNA". It matches the Rfam family "Bacterial small subunit ribosomal RNA", at positions 29 to 507 of the family's 1533-position model. The record is from RNAcentral.
AGUGAGCGCUGGCGGUAGGCCUAACACAUGCAAGUCGAACGGCAGCACAGUAAGAGCUUGCUCUUACGGGUGGCGAGUGGCGGACGGGUGAGGAGUACAUCGGAAUCUACUUUUUCGUGGGGGAUAACGUAGGGAAACUUACGCUAAUACCGCAUACGACCUACGGGUGAAAGCAGGGGAUCUUCGGACCUUGCGCGAUUGAAUGAGCCGAUGUCGGAUUAGCUAGUUGGCGGGGUAAAGGCCCACCAAGGCGACGAUCCGUAGCUGGUCUGAGAGGAUGAUCAGCCACACUGGAGCUGAGACACGGUCCAGACUCCUACGGGAGGCAGCAGUGGGGAAUAUUGGACAAUGGGCGCAAGCCUGAUCCAGCCAUACCGCGUGGGUGAAGAAGGCCUUCGGGUUGUAAAGCCCUUUUGUUGGGAAAGAAAAGCAGCAGGUUAAUACCCCGCUGUUCUGACGGUACCCAAAGAAUAAGCACCGGCUAACUUCGUG